RNAcentral lists this long non-coding RNA (874 nucleotides) under Nicotiana benthamiana. RNAcentral's name for it is "long non-coding RNA (NBEN_LNC041522)". The record is from RNAcentral. Lineage: Eukaryota; Viridiplantae; Streptophyta; Magnoliopsida; Solanales; Solanaceae.
CCCAGGGACAUCAGAAGAAUAUACAAAUAGGGGACUGGAAGAGUCUACAGAAGGGGAGGCACUAGUACCAGUACUUGUGUUAGAAGCCAUAGUGCUUAGAUGAACAACUUUUCAACAAACAGAAUACAAUUAAAACAGGUAUUCACACACAACAACCAACAAAUAGAACACAGUCAAGUCAGGUAUUCACAAACAACGCCAGAUGCUCACAAGUACACAGUCAAAUAAUCACAUAUAAUACCGAAGAUAAGGACAGAGUUACCCUCCUUCUUCGCGAUCGGAGAAGAUCGGCCUUCAGAUAACAGAGAACCCUAGGUAUCAAACCCUGGCUGUAACCUUAAAAGCAACUUUACUGGAGAUGUGGUCAGGAACGUCAGGAACGUCGGAGAAGCACCAAAAACCACGAAGCACACAGAAACAUGAUCGGAUCAUCGUCGAGGCUCAUAUACCAUGUAAACAUUCAGAUUAGACCGAGAAACCAUAGAAAUUCUAGAGAGAGAAAGUAGAGACUUCUAUAAACAUUCAGAUUAGACCGAGAAACCAUAGAAAUUCUAGAAAGAGAAAGUAAAGAGAAGUUAGAGCAUUCGGGAACUCUCUGAAAGAGAGAAGUAUAUUACAGAAAAUGAAAGGAGGAAAAUGAGUCUCGGUAGGUGAGAAAAAUAUCUCACCUACAUUUAUACUAAGUGCAAAUGGACGGGUCGGAUCGGGUGAUCCGGCCCAAAAUUAAAUAAGGGACUUGGGCUCAGACCACACUCAUCAGAGCCCAGUUACAACUUAUAACCCAAUGCCGGAAAUAUACCUACAAUAUAUACUCAAUAUACACUGAAUAUACACAAGUAUAUACAAAUCUAAAUCAUGUAAUAUCUUGUAUCUC